RNAcentral lists this ribosomal RNA (243 nucleotides) under uncultured Lactobacillus sp. Its description in RNAcentral is "partial 16S ribosomal RNA". It matches the Rfam family "Bacterial small subunit ribosomal RNA", at positions 118 to 355 of the family's 1533-position model. Lineage: Bacteria; Bacillati; Bacillota; Bacilli; Lactobacillales; Lactobacillaceae. The record is from RNAcentral.
UGGGGAACCUGCCCCAUAGUCUGGGAUACCACUUGGAAACAGGUGCUAAUACCGGAUAAGAAAGCGGAUCGCAUGAUCAGCUUUUAAAAGGCGGCGUAAGCUGUCGCUAUGGGAUGGCCCCGCGGUGCAUUAGCUAGUUGGUAAGGUAAAGGCUUACCAAGGCGAUGAUGCAUAGCCGAGUUGAGAGACUGAUCGCCACAUUGGGACUGAGACACGGCCCAAACUCCUACGGGAGGCAGCAGC